This is a long non-coding RNA of Trachemys scripta elegans, 3979 nucleotides long. RefSeq lists it as uncharacterized. The transcript is spliced from 3 exons. The record is from RefSeq and is a predicted model, not a curated record. Lineage: Eukaryota; Metazoa; Chordata; Testudines; Emydidae.
UCUUUUGCUGAGCUCCUUUGUCAUUCCACUUCUGCUUCUCAUUUUCCUGCUUUUUAUUUUUGUAUCUCCAUCUGUCUCCUGCUUGUUCUUUUCAUCUUCAUCUCUUUCUUUCUCUCGUCUGAUUAGGAAGUGGCCCUCAGCAGGUGCCUCUCAUACUUUUUGGCUCUUGAGCUAAAAUCAUUGGCCAGCCCUGACUGUGCGAGGGAACUCAUUCAGUGAAUCAGAUAGGAUUGGUUUCCCGUUCAACCUUUCGGAUCCUAGGGCUUAUGAAGAAUAACACCAAGCACUGCCUUUGGGAAGCCUUCUUGCAAGCUGAAAGUGAAAGAAAGUGAAAGCAGAGAUUCUCACAUAAUCACUUGACCUCCAGGAGCUGAGUCUUUAAGAGAAACAACAAAUAUUGUGACACUAGCAAUAAAAUCAUGAAAGCCGGUAAUACUGAAGUCAAUGGAGUUACAUCAGGAAAAAGUCAUUUACUGAAUGUAUCUGGAGUCAACUACAUACAAAAGAGAUUAGAGUGAUUAGAGGAUCAAGAAAGAAAAACCAUCACCAGAAGAUAGGGGACUUAAUUGUCUUCUAACACCAAUUGUAUGAAUCAGAAGUAACUCCACAGAUGCUAAUGGGCCAGAUUCUGUCUCCCACUAUGGCCCCUUUAUGUCACUUCUGUAGUGCAAAGAGGCUAUAAAGAGGUCAGAAUGGUAUUGUGGUGAAUGCUGGGAGAAUGGCUGAGGAUAACUGAGGUGGUGUAUCAGCAUAGGAAGGGGAGUGGCUGGAGCACACUGCUCUGGCUAAUCUGGGCUGCAAAGCAAAGCAGCCAUGCAAAGCUGCUGUAAAUUAAAGCAGCCACUGGGCUGCUCUAACUCAUUCUGGGGUCAAACUGGAGCCCAGAGCACCCCCCGAAUAUGGAAGGUACAGCCCCAACUGGCAUUCCCCUUCCUGGGCUGCUAAUUCAAUGCUGCACCCCAUGAGCACAGCACAAACUAUGGCCCACUGCAGUUACACUUCUGUAAAACUGGUGUGAGAGGAGACUGAGAGCCACAAUCUAUGAUAGCUUGAGAAAUAUCAAACAAAUGUACAAUAUGCCUAAAGGAAAAGCAGAACGAAUGCUUUGAAAAGUUUCCUAAACAGAAGUGCUUUUUACCCUGCCAUUCAAAUGACCAUGUAAGGGCCUGUGGUGCAAGGAUGAAACAAUAUUUUUAAUAGGGAAACAAAGUUCAGAACUUUUUCAAACCUCAAAAAAAGGUUUCGCUCAUUUCAAGUUUUGGGUGAAGAUUUGGGUCAAGUUUCAGGGUGGUUUCUCGACCCCUAAUUACUAUUAUUAACACUCCUAAAUGUACUCUUUAGAAAAUCCUUCUGCUAAGGAGGGCUUGAGUGAGCUAAUGAGUAUGAGAGAGAAAAGAAGGUCCCUGUUUCCAUUUUAAAUACUUCAGCUCACUAAUUGGGGACCAGAGUAGAAUUCUUCUGUUGGAAUGGGUAGAGUUCAGGGAGAGGUGGGAGCAAGAACAAUAUUUUUUAGACCUGUCACUUUAAAAUAUACCCACUGCUGCUUUGACAUGGCAGCCAAUGUAUUUUAAAGUAACAAUAAGUAACUCUAUCCUCCCUUUAGGCUCUUGCGGGGUUUAUUUGUUUUUAAAAAAUGAGCCAGGCAGGUUUUUCCAAGGUCUCACAGCUUUAAUGAAGAAUAACAAUCUCUGAUGAUCCUGGCAACAGGCAUCUUCUAUUUCUAAAUAAAAUUUGAGAGUCAGGACGCCUUGCACCUACAGCUCUGUUAUUGUGUAGCCUUCCAGUAUUAUAAUAGCAAAUGGACUCCCCACAGAUAGUUGUUUCAGUCAGAGAGUCACACUGUCUCCAUAUUGUUGGUUGGAUUUUUGGAUGCUGUUUUUGCUAUUGCAUGCAUCAGCUCCACACCUAUACACACCCUGAUUGUCCUCCUCAGAGGGCUUAGAGCGCCAGUAAUUUUAUCCAGAAGGUACAGCAUGAGGGAGAUAUUUGAUAUUUUAUUGCUGUAGAAAACUAUUUCAGUAAUCAGUGCCUGAACUUGGUUGCUAUGCCCUUCACAUUUUUCCUCCCAAGUAAAGAAUGAGGUUUUAUUUGGCACAAAAUACUCUUCUUCAUCAAAUUCUGUUGGACAUUUGAAAGUUGUCAUACACUCUAGUGAUAUCAAUUGGUGAGUCUGUGGACGUUGAAAUGAUUUAGACUCAUUCACAACAUUAAAGAACUGCAGUUUGACUAAACCCAGAAUUUUUAAGGAUGCAUUUCCAAAGCACAAACAACGAGUAUGAGUGACUCUCCAUAUCCAGAAAAAUGUUCUGUUUUCCACAAGCUAAGGAAUUUGAUAAACUGAAGUGUUUUGCUUUGACUGAUAUUUUGGCCAAUUAUUGUUUGUUUUUCAGUUACACAGGGAGAAAUCCACUCCUGUGCAGGACUAUGCAAUGCAUAAGGACCACUUAUGCCCUAUUUUGAGGGCUUAAGUGGGAAUUGAGUGGUGUAUAGCACGUGUGCUGUCCCUUUGCACAGGGAAUAGUCUACAUGCACGGUUACAAAUUAACCAGGAGGUUUGUUUGUGGAAAUAAUGUUGUGCACUUAGUAACCCAUUUUUGCACUUAUAUAGGUAUAUAGCAAUACCCUUUUAAACUCUGUUCUUCAACUGGUAUAAAAAAAAUCCACAUAUAAAUGUAGAAAAUUUGACUCCACAGAAAAGAAUUCCUUAAGACUGAUGCAGGGUAAUAACACCUAGUAGUGUUCUGUGUAUAUAAUUCCUAUUAGUGUUAAUGUGUGGAUCGAUGACAGAACUGAUCUUUACUUGAGGGGUGGUGGGAGGAUAUGCUACUCUUAAGGUGACCAGAUGUCCCAAUUUUAUAGAGACAGUCCCGAUUUUGGGGUCUUUUUCUUAUACAGGCUCCUAUUAUCCCACCCCCCCUGUCCCAAUUUUUCACACUUGCUGUCUGGUCACCCUACCUCCCCUUUCAGUCUUACAGUGGAGGGAAAUAUCUUCCCCUGUAUGAGUGCUGGCCACCUGUUCCAAGACGUUAGAGACUGAUCCUGUAAAAUACUGAGUGGAGGAAUGGGAGCUCAGAACAUUGCAAAGUGUUUAUACCAUCUACCACAAGCAGGAGCAAUAAAAUUGUGUUUAACUGGGGUCAAAGUGGAUUGUGCUUUCCAUAAGAGCAACUAGGUUCUUGUUAAAUUUGAAUAGGUAGUCUAUUUUUGUUUGUCUGCUAAUUAAACAUAUUUUUAAACAAUAGUUCCCCACUAAUUUAAGACCAGUCAACUAGAUAGAAAGAUAGAUAGCUUUGAUGAGAUUUUGGCUCACAUGAGGCCAUGUUGGGGAAACUGAGGCAGGGAAUAAAACAACAGUCAUCUAAUUCUGAAAAUAUAUUUGCUAUAGGAGAGUCCUCAUAAAAAUAUUUUGUGCAAAGUAAUUCCUGCUUCCUGUCACUGUGUAUUUGCAAUGGAAUUAUUGAAGCUUUUGACUGGGGUCCAUUUGUUUUUCAAUGUGCACUUGUUAAUAUAUUGUAAAUUUACUCUUCAUGUCUGGUUACAGUUCCAUGAUGAUUUACCUUGUUGACCUCUCCUCUCCUGGACAGGCAUGGCUAUCUUUCUCACACAGGGACAGACAGCUGUUUUCAAUACCAUUUCCAAAAGACAAACCUGAAAGAACUGCAAGGUGCCAUCCGUGCACUCUGAACACAGAUUUAUGAAAAGACUUCUUAAGAAAGAAAGAAAGAAAAUUGGCAGCUCCUUCCACCCAUGAGCUCUGCAGUUGGCCACUUGGAAUGAACUUAAAUAGCAUCUGAAUAGGUCAUCUAAAUGUAUUUUCUCUUUUAAGUAGGUUUAAGCAAAAGCAGAUUGCUGUUUCUCUUUUCUUGUUUCCUUGACAUCAGAAUGUGAUGCUGCCUGUCUGAAGGCCAGACACAGAAUGAGGUGUAUGUGUGGAACAUAUGGAAUUGGUUUCCCUCUCAAUGAUAAACACAUGAAUUUC